GAUGAACGCUGGCGGCGUGCCUAAUACAUGCAAGUCGAGCGAACGGACGAGAAGCUUGCUUCUCUGAUGUUAGCGGCGGACGGGUGAGUAACACGUGGAUAACCUACCUAUAAGACUGGGAUAACUUCGGGAAACCGGAGCUAAUACCGGAUAAUAUUUUGCACCGCAUGGUUCAAAAGUGAAAGACGGUCUUGCUGUCACUUAUAGAUGGAUCCGCGCUGCAUUAGCUAGUUGGUAAGGUAACGGCUUACCAAGGCAACGAUGCAUAGGCGGCCUGAGAGGGGGAUCGGCCACACUGGAACUGAGACACGGUCCAGACUCCUACGGGAGGCAGCAGUAGGGAAUCUUCCGCAAUGGGCGAAAGCCUGACGGAGCAACGCCGCGUGAGUGAUGAAGGUCUUCGGAUCGUAAAACUCUGUUAUUAGGGAAGAACAGAUGUGUAAGUAACUGUGCACAUCUUGACGGUAACUAAUCAGAAAGCCACGGCUAACUACGUG
Molecule: ribosomal RNA, 497 nt
Filed under: uncultured bacterium
Lineage: Bacteria
Description: partial 16S ribosomal RNA
Rfam family: Bacterial small subunit ribosomal RNA
Source: RNAcentral